ACCGUCUGAAAUAAAAGCGGGCAACAAAUUAUUCUAAGGCUUAGUUUUAUAUUGAGGUAUAUCUAACGCUUUUAUAUAUAAUGAAGUUGAGGAAAAAGUAUAUAGGGAUAUGUUUCUACGUUCUCCAGUAAGACAGCAAAAAAUAUAUCGUAACCGACUCAUCGCGAUAUGCGGAACACAAUUACAUGCGAAAACAAAUAGCAUAUUUUUUCAACGUACUUUCUCACCACACGUAAUGUAAUCUCCCCGCAAUCCCAAACGAAGCCUAAAUAGUAACUGAAAAUUAAGUAAAAUUUUAUGUUACACGUAUAUAAAGCCGUCGAGUUUGACUUGAAAUUAUUCCUUACUAUUAUAAGUACUACUUUCCAAAAAAAAAUUC
This 379-nucleotide long non-coding RNA is filed under the name Ananas comosus (pineapple). Its description in RNAcentral is "long non-coding RNA (ACOM_LNC032282)". Lineage: Eukaryota; Viridiplantae; Streptophyta; Magnoliopsida; Poales; Bromeliaceae. The record is from RNAcentral.